RNAcentral lists this ribosomal RNA (605 nucleotides) under uncultured bacterium. RNAcentral describes it as "bacterial SSU rRNA". It matches the Rfam family "Bacterial small subunit ribosomal RNA", at positions 223 to 826 of the family's 1533-position model. The record is from RNAcentral.
GGAUGGGCAUGCGGCGCAUUAGCUAGUCGGCGGGGUAACGGCCCACCGAGGCGACGAUGCGUAGGGGUUCCGAGAGGAAGGUCCCCCACACUGGUACUGAGACACGGACCAGACUCCUACGGGAGGCAGCAGUGAGGAAUAUUGGUCAAUGGGAGAGAUCCUGAACCAGCCAAGCCGCGUGAGGGAAGACGGCCCUAUGGGUUGUAAACCUCUUUUGUCGGAGAACAAAACCCGGGACGAGUCCCGGACUGCGUGUAUCCGAAGAAAAAGUAUCGGCUAACUCCGUGCCAGCAGCCGCGGUAAUACGGAGGAUGCGAGCGUUAUCCGGAUUUAUUGGGUUUAAAGGGUGCGUAGGCGAUCCGUUAAGUCAGCGGUAAAAUUGCGGGGCUCAACCCCGUCGAGCCGUUGAAACUGGCAGACUUGAGUUGGCGAGAAGUACGCGGAAUGCGCGGUGUAGCGGUGAAAUGCAUAGAUAUCGCGCAGAACUCCGAUUGCGAAGGCAGCGUACCGGCGCCAGACUGACGCUGAGGCACGAAGGCGUGGGGAUCGAACAGGAUUAGAUACCCUGGUAGUCCACGCAGUAAACGAUGAAUGCUGGUUGUCCG